Molecule: ribosomal RNA, 229 nt
Filed under: uncultured bacterium
Lineage: Bacteria
Description: partial 16S ribosomal RNA
Rfam family: Bacterial small subunit ribosomal RNA
Source: RNAcentral
CGGGGUGAGUAAUGUCUGGGAAACUGCCCGAUGGAGGGGGAUAACUACUGGAAACGGUAGCUAAUACCGCAUAAUGUCGCAAGACCAAAGAGGGGGACCUUCGGGCCUCUUGCCAUCGGAUGUGCCCAGAUGGGAUUAGCUAGUAGGUGGGGUAAUGGCUCACCUAGGCGACGAUCCCUAGCUGGUCUGAGAGGAUGACCAGCCACACUGGAACUGAGACACGGUCCAG